UACACGCAUGAUUGCAAGUCGCUUUGGAUAAAAGUGUCUGCUAAAUGGCAUAUU
Molecule: non-coding RNA, 54 nt
Organism: Salmo salar (Atlantic salmon)
Lineage: Eukaryota; Metazoa; Chordata; Actinopteri; Salmoniformes; Salmonidae
Source: Rfam